AACGAACGCUGGCGGCAUGCCUAACACAUGCAAGUCGAACGAGACCUUCGGGUCUAGUGGCGCACGGGUGCGUAACGCGUGGGAACCUGCCCUUAGGUUCGGAAUAACUCCCCGAAAGGGGUGCUAAUACCGGAUAAUGUCUUCGGACCAAAGAUUCAUCGCCUUUGGAUGGGCCCGCGUUGGAUUAGCUAGUUGGUAGGGUAAAAGCCUACCAAGGCGACGAUCCAUAGCUGGUCUGAGAGGAUGAUCAGCCACACUGGGACUGAGACACGGCCCAGACUCCAACGGGAGGCAGCAGUGGGGAAUAUUGGACAAUGGGCGAAAGCCUGAUCCAGCAAUGCCGCGUGAGUGAUGAAGGCCUUAGGGUUGUAAAGCUCUUUUACCCGGGAUGAUAAUGACAGUACCGGGAGAAUAAGCUCCGGCUAACUCCGUG
This 433-nucleotide ribosomal RNA is filed under the name uncultured bacterium. RNAcentral describes it as "partial 16S ribosomal RNA". It matches the Rfam family "Bacterial small subunit ribosomal RNA", at positions 29 to 507 of the family's 1533-position model. The record is from RNAcentral.